UACGUAGGGGCUAGCGUUAUCCGGAAUUACUGGGCGUAAAGGGUGCGUAGGUGGUUCGUUAAGUCUGAUGUGAAAGCCCUGGGCUCAACCUGGGAAUUGCAUUGGAUACUGGCGGGCUAGAGUGCGGUAGAGGGUAGUGGAAUUCCAGGUGUAGCAGUGAAAUGCGUAGAUAUCGGGAGGAACAUCCGUGGCGAAGGCGACUGCCUGGACCAGCACUGACACUGAGGCACGAAAGCGUGGGGAGCAAACAGGAUUAGAUACCCU
This 264-nucleotide ribosomal RNA is filed under the name uncultured prokaryote. RNAcentral describes it as "partial 16S ribosomal RNA". It matches the Rfam family "Bacterial small subunit ribosomal RNA", at positions 524 to 788 of the family's 1533-position model. The record is from RNAcentral.